Molecule: transfer RNA, 66 nt
Filed under: Synalpheus microneptunus
Lineage: Eukaryota; Metazoa; Arthropoda; Malacostraca; Decapoda; Alpheidae
Description: tRNA-Met
Source: RNAcentral
AAAAAGAUAAGCUAACUACAAGCUUACGAGUUCAUACCUCGUCCAUGAAGUAUACUUCUCUUUUUA